Molecule: ribosomal RNA, 406 nt
Filed under: bacterium enrichment culture clone ALO1_GLFRUDD03GLKFF
Lineage: Bacteria
Description: bacterial SSU rRNA
Rfam family: Bacterial small subunit ribosomal RNA
Source: RNAcentral
GAGUUUGAUCGUGGCUCAGAUUGAACGCUGGCGGCAUGCUUUACACAUGCAAGUCGAACGGCAGCACGGGAGCUUGCUCCUGGUGGCGAGUGGCGAACGGGUGAGUAAUGCAUCGGAACGUAUCCUGGAGUGGGGGAUAACGUAGCGAAAGUUACGCUAAUACCGCAUAUUCUGUGAGCAGGAAAGCGGGGGACCUUCGGGCCUCGCGCUCUUGGAGCGGCCGAUGUCGGAUUAGCUAGUUGGUGAGGUAAAGGCUCACCAAGGCGACGAUCCGUAGCAGGUCUGAGAGGAUGAUCUGCCACACUGGAACUGAGACACGGUCCAGACUCCUACGGGAGGCAGCAGUGGGAAUUUUGGACAAUGGGGGCAACCCUGAUCCAGCCAUGCCGCGUGAGUGAAGAAGGCC